GCCGCUAGGGGGCGGCCGCGCGGGAGGGCGAGCAACGAGUGUGCUCCGAUUACUCGGACGAAGAAGGCUUCCGCAGACAAAUAACAUGGCGGCGCCCGAGAGCGGCGAGCAAGCGAGCCAAUUGGAAUUCUCGCUGCAAGUUCCCUUCCAGUCGGCGCGCCAGGCCGCUGUGGCUCUGCGCUCGCUGAGUCCCGACCGCGAGCCCCGGCGAUGAGGCGUCCGCAAGCGGCUGACGCUCGCCGGGAGUGUGCUCAGCGCGUGAGGAGCCUUCGCCCGGCCCCGCUGCCGUCGCCCGCACGCCCACCCGCCAGUGACCUCUUGUGACCUUUUCAGGAAGUGGCGUGCAGAGCAAGCUCGCGUCCUUCGCGUAUCCGUCAACUCCUUCCUGGAGCACCUCGGCCUGGUCUUGGAGACCAUGCGUGCCUUUCCCGCCGACGUCGGACAGGAUCCUCACAGCGUUCUUGGUCGUCCACCUUCGAUGGACACGCGAGGGCCCGCCUUCAUGGAAAACUUCAGCGAGCCGAUGCUGCGUUCUUGAUUUAAAGUUUUUAGCGUUAAGCAUGUUUAUCCUUUUUUUUCCUAAGUUGAUUUCAUCGCGCGCUUGAUUACUGGCGUCAGCUAUUGCCCAAAAUGUCGCCACGAGCUGCUGUAGACGCAAGGCAGCCAAGCCAGCGCUCCGUUGGUUUUGCUCUGACCAUUGUGCUCGUCUGCGUUGGGGCAGGGUAUUUUUGGUUCUUAUUUAAAUGUUUUUCCCCUGAUCUCACGUGUGCUUCAUGUGUAAAUGUACGUAUCAUUUUGCUUUGAAUAAAAACAGAAGUCGCCUGCC
Syngnathus typhle (broad-nosed pipefish) is the source of this 826-nucleotide long non-coding RNA. RefSeq lists it as uncharacterized. The transcript is spliced from 2 exons. Lineage: Eukaryota; Metazoa; Chordata; Actinopteri; Syngnathiformes; Syngnathidae. The record is from RefSeq and is a predicted model, not a curated record.